GUAGGAAUCUACCUAGUAGUACGGAAUAGCCAUUAGAAAUGGUGGGAAAUACUGUAUAAUCCCCGAGGGGGAAAGAUUUAUCGCUAUUAGAUGAGCCUACGUUAGAUUAGCUAGUUGGUGAGGUAAUGGCUUACCAAGGCUAUGAUCUAUAGCUGGUCUGAGAGGACGAUCAGCCACACUGGAACUGAGAUACGGUCCAGACUCCUACGGGAGGCAGCAGUGGGGAAUAUUGGACAAUGGGCGAAAGCCUGAUCCAGCUAUGCCGCGUGAGUGAAGAAGGCCUUCGGGU
This 289-nucleotide ribosomal RNA is filed under the name uncultured Ehrlichia sp. Its description in RNAcentral is "partial 16S ribosomal RNA". It matches the Rfam family "Bacterial small subunit ribosomal RNA", at positions 117 to 423 of the family's 1533-position model. The record is from RNAcentral. Lineage: Bacteria; Pseudomonadati; Pseudomonadota; Alphaproteobacteria; Rickettsiales; Anaplasmataceae.